This 348-nucleotide unclassified non-coding RNA is filed under the name Hevea brasiliensis (rubber tree). Lineage: Eukaryota; Viridiplantae; Streptophyta; Magnoliopsida; Malpighiales; Euphorbiaceae. The record is from RNAcentral.
CUCAUUUUGGUGAUCUAGAUAUGGUUUUUAACCUUUGUAGUUCUUAUGUACAAAGUGGAAGUCUAUAUUUUAUGUUGAAAGUUAGUGUUUGGUUUUAUUCUCUUGAGGCCUGUGGUUGCUUUCUUUUAUUAUGUUUUGUGUACCUCAAUGAUUUAUAUCUUGGUAAAAAUUGGACCCCUAUUGAGGAAAUAAAGUUUUAGUAGCUAACAUAUGAGCUUCACGGAAAAGGAAAAAGAAGAUGGUGUGGGCAAGAAGGGGCUAGACAAUUAGUUGACUCAAUUAAGCUUUAGUUGCAAUCUAAUUGAUUUUGCUAUAUGAAUCCUUUUCCUUCAUUUUAGCUGAUUUGGG